This 128-nucleotide non-coding RNA is filed under the name Stappia sp. ES.058. Its description in RNAcentral is "Ruegeria cis8 sRNA". It matches the Rfam family "Ruegeria cis8 sRNA". Rfam says of the family: Cis-encoded. Targets hypothetical protein. Higher sRNA expression during C-limited growth. Lineage: Bacteria; Pseudomonadati; Pseudomonadota; Alphaproteobacteria; Hyphomicrobiales; Stappiaceae. The record is from Rfam by way of RNAcentral.
AACGCCAGCACCCGCGCGAUAUAGGGGAUCAGCGGCAGAUUGAGGAUCAGAAGGAUGACGUUGCCGAUGUACAUGGAGAUGAUCACCGACCAGAACACCUCCGGGUUUUCCUCAAACAGCCGCGGGCC